UGGGGCGUGGCCAAGUGGUAAGGCANNGGCAGCGGUUUUUGGUACCGCCAUUCGGAGGUUCGAAUCCUUCCGCCCCAGCCA
RNAcentral lists this transfer RNA (81 nucleotides) under Candidatus Babelota bacterium. Its description in RNAcentral is "tRNA-Gln". It matches the Rfam family "tRNA". Rfam says of the family: Transfer RNA (tRNA) molecules are approximately 80 nucleotides in length. Their secondary structure includes four short double-helical elements and three loops (D, anti-codon, and T loops). The record is from RNAcentral.